AGUGAACGCUGGCGAUAGGCCUAACACAUGCAAGUCGAACGGCAGCACAGUAAGAGCUUGCUCUUACGGGUGGCGAGUGGCGGACGGGUGAGGAAUACAUCGGAAUCUACUUUUUCGUGGGGGAUAACGUAGGGAAACUUACGCUAAUACCGCAUACGACCUACGGGUGAAAGCAGGGGAUCUUCGGACCUUGCGCGAUUGAAUGAGCCGAUGUCGGAUUAGCUAGUUGGCGGGGUAAAGGCCCACCAAGGCGACGAUCCGUAGCUGGUCUGAGAGGAUGAUCAGCCACACUGGAACUGAGACACGGUCCAGACUCCUACGGGAGGCAGCAGUGGGGAAUAUUGGACAAUGGGUGCAAGCCUGAUCCAGCCGUACCGCGUGGGUGAAGAAGGCCUUCGGGUUGUAAAGCCCUUUUGUUGGGAAAGAAAAGCAGCAGGUUAAUACCCCGCUGUUCUGACGGUACCCAAAGAAUAAGCACCGGCUAACUUCGUG
RNAcentral lists this ribosomal RNA (492 nucleotides) under uncultured bacterium. RNAcentral's name for it is "partial 16S ribosomal RNA". It matches the Rfam family "Bacterial small subunit ribosomal RNA", at positions 29 to 507 of the family's 1533-position model. The record is from RNAcentral.